UUGAGAUGUAUCCUGUGGCUCUGGUAAUUGGUGCAGUUUCCAGAGUCAUUUGUAUGGACACUGUGUAAUGCAGAGUUCGGGGGAGAAAGCUCCACAGUCCUCCUGUGCUUGUAGUAGGAGUGCAGUAGAAGAGGAGAUGAAGGACUUCCAACUGGAGAGAAAAUGAGACGCAGAGAGAUCAGAGAUCAGAGUGAGAACUGCCGGGGGUCAGAGCCGCAGCUCAGCCCCAUGAAUACCUGCAUCAGGUGUGAGCUGCACAUUGUCAGGUACCAGGUUAUUUGACCACUUGAAAUAGACCCACCACUGCUCCUGUACCUGCGUGCUGGAUUCCUGGUACUUCAGAGAUGCUAGUGGCAGCUCUUGGAUAUCAUCUUAUGGCUUCAAGCUUAUGAUCUAAGAUCGACAGAAUUUUCUUCAUGCAAAAUCUUGGUAGGAAAUCUUGGCAUGUGUAGC
This is a long non-coding RNA of Condylura cristata (star-nosed mole), 453 nucleotides long. RefSeq lists it as uncharacterized. NCBI's taxonomy places the organism in Eukaryota, Metazoa, Chordata, Mammalia, Eulipotyphla, Talpidae. The transcript has 3 exons. The record is from RefSeq and is a predicted model, not a curated record.